Molecule: long non-coding RNA, 2581 nt
Organism: Pezoporus occidentalis (night parrot)
Lineage: Eukaryota; Metazoa; Chordata; Aves; Psittaciformes; Psittacidae
Exons: 2
Source: RefSeq, a predicted model, not a curated record
AAAAAUCCCCAAACCAACAAAAAGCAAUCUUUUCCUGGUGCUGACAUUAGUCUGCUCUCAGUCUUGGUCCCCCAACCCUCUUAACCAAGUCUGUAGCACAGAUCAUAUUUUAUUUACAGAUGUAUAUUAAGGCAGCCUUUUAUUUUGGGAUCACAUUACUUGCAUUUGUACUGUAGAGAUUUUUAAUUCUGAAAGCUGCUGCCAUCUUUUGUGUACACACUUUAAGCAGAGUUUUUGUUUUUCCCAAGUACUUGUACUGACUUUCAGAUAUUUAAUAUCUGAAGUUGUGGUUCUCUUUGAUUCAUCGGCUGUUAAAGCAUGUUGGCUAUACUAAAACUGGCAAAGGGGUUAAACAAGAGCAAAAAAGCAGUAUUCCAGAGAACCAGGAUAUCAGAAAAUAUUCCUUUCUUGAAGGUACGUUACCACCUAGCAAAUACUGAGAAUAAUGGUCACACAAAUAGAAAAAAGGAAAUUCAAAAGGCCUGUGAAAUUUUGCUUGAUUUUGAAAAGCUUAAUUGAAGAAAGCGCUUGAGAUUUGAGCAUUCCUACCAAGCUCUUUGUGCAAAGGGGAUUGUCUCUGUAUGGAUGUGGCACAUCAUCGGCAGGACAGAAUAAGUCAACUGUUCAGCUGGCUCUGCUGUAGCUCUAACCCUCCACAGCUGAGAAUGUUCACAUCAGGAAGGGGAGUAGAAGGAUGAUAAAUUAACUCCUUCUGACAUUUCAGAAGAUGUGUAUGCUGCAAUGCAGAGCCCUUGGUGCUGAAAGUAGCUUAGACAAAGAGGUUAUGGCACAGGGGCCAUAGCUGGCAUGAAGAUAACAGGGUUUUGCUCUAGAAUGACAUGUUCUUUUAGUCUCUGUUUUACACACAUAAUUCUUUGAGGAAUCUCAUCUUUUGAGGAUGAUGAAUUUGGUAAGAAAAAUGGAAGAGGAUCAGAUUGUUACACAAGAAGAACUAAAUGAGCUUUCACUAGAAGGCUACGAACAACAUGAAAUAAUGUAAUACCCAGUGCAAAGUUACUCGCAUUAUUGUUAAGGGCAAAAUGCUAGAAUUUCUGCUGUAAAUACUGAGUGAUUAAGAGCUUGAAAACUCCAUUCAUGAAUGAGUAUUUCUUGCUCCAGUCAUCAGACAUCUACACCAAAGCAUAAGUAAGAUGAAAGGCAAGGCUGUGAUGUAAUGUGGAGCUGAUGAGAUAGCUCCAUACUGAGAGCAGAACUGGAGAUGAAAUCAAAGAUGACUGAAUGGCAUUGACUGCACCUCCCUGAAAAGGUAAAGAAGCACAGACGGGUAGAGCCUUUCAAUAAUUAUAAGAAAUUAGACAUAAAAAACAAGACCCAGAAGACAAAAUGUGAAAACAGCUCACGUAACAUUGCAAUCUCAUGGCUUAUGCUGUCAGCAAAAAAAGACUGGAUUAAUUUCUGCAGACUCAACAGUAACUGCCAUACGGCAGCAGUUAGUACUAUUGAAAUGCUGGAUCUGAUGGUAACCAACUAGGCUGUAGUGACUCGGAACAGAUGUCCUCAGAAAAGCAUGAGACAGCAUUCUGCAAUGUGAAAGAAAUCCUUGCCUGUAAGUCUAAACUGAUGGUUCGUUUUGUGGACUGGGACAUGUAUCUCUCCUGAGAUAGGAAUUUUAGCUUUUCCCUUGUUUUAUGUCAGUAGAUACCCAGUCUGGUCCUUAGCGAAGCUGGAACAGUCUUCGUAAAUGCAUCCUAGAGGAUAUUAAUUUUCAGCAGUUACAUACGUUCUAAAUACAAGCAUUAGGACUAGCAGGGACUAGCCUGCAUUUUUCAGUAUAUUCAAAGAGCGUAGUGUCAUGAACAGCUCCUCUCUAGCUCAUUGUGGAUUCCUGUUUUGUCAUGAUCUAGGCGUAACUGACCUUGAGCUGAGCUGUUUGUAUUCCCUCUUGGAGUAAGACUGUUUAAGCUCAUGCAGUUCUUUACCAUUGAGCAGUUACAACUGAAGCCACUUAUGUGAAGCUUACCUCAGAAAGUUUGAAGUUGCUGCCUAAUAUUUGUCCAGUGGACAGACGUAGGAUUUGAACUUGCAGUCAGCCAAGAGUGGCUGAAGUCCUGAGGGUCAAAGAACCCACAUUCAACCCCAGUGAGGAAGAAUCCUGGAACACACAAUAGCUGUAAACUUUAUGCCCAUGCUCCCCACCUAAAGUGAGGGGGAAGGAGGCAGACUGUGAUCUCUGUGUUUAACAGGGGAAGGAGUAAAGACUGUGAUCUCUAUGCUUAAAUGCUGUUCAAAAGAUACAAAAAAAAAAAUUGUCAUUUUACAACCUUUACUCAGAAGUAGUUUAUCUAAGGACUACUCUUGAAGGGAAUUGCUAGUAAGGUCAGGCUGGAAGGCCAGAUACAGGCAGAAUUUAGUAUUAAACUAAUGUUCCUUCUCUUGUGUUGUAUAUUGCAUACAGGUUUGCUGCUGUCUUGUCUGAACCAGCUUUUCUUCUCACUUUGCUUAAGAAGAAUCAUGUGAAUAAAAAGGUAUUUUUCAUAAGGUAUGUUGCUGGGAAGUACAAGAUGCAAAAUACUGAAGCCUGCACUAGAACGAAAAAUAAAAUUCCAUAUAAUACUUUUCA